This 274-nucleotide ribosomal RNA is filed under the name uncultured bacterium. RNAcentral's name for it is "partial 16S ribosomal RNA". It matches the Rfam family "Bacterial small subunit ribosomal RNA", at positions 29 to 303 of the family's 1533-position model. The record is from RNAcentral.
ACGAACGCUGGCGGCGUGCUUAACACAUGCAAGUCGAGCGGUAAGGCCCUUUCGGGGGUACACGAGCGGCGAACGGGUGAGUAACACGUGGGUGACCUGCCUUUAGCUCUGGGAUAAGCCUGGGAAACCGGGUCUAAUACCGGAUAUGGACUCCGCGGCGCAUGUUGUGGGGUGGAAAGCCUUGUGCGGCUGGAGAUGGGCCCGCGGCCUAUCAGCUUGUUGGUGGGGUGAUGGCCUACCAAGGCGACGACGGGUAGCCGGCCUGAGAGGGCGA